Molecule: ribosomal RNA, 465 nt
Filed under: uncultured bacterium
Lineage: Bacteria
Description: partial 16S ribosomal RNA
Rfam family: Bacterial small subunit ribosomal RNA
Source: RNAcentral
GACGAACGCUGGCGGCGUGCUUAACACAUGCAAGUCGAACGGAAAGGCCCCUUUGGGGGUCCUCGAGUGGCGAACGGGUGAGUAACACGUGAGUAACCUGCCCUUGACUUCGGGAUAACUUCAGGAAACUGGGGCUAAUACCGGAUAGGAAUCCUUGCUGCAUGGUGGGGGUUGGAAAGCUUCGGCGGGUUUGGAUGGACUCGCGGCUUAUCAGCUUGUUGGUGGGGUAGUGGCUUACCAAGGCUUUGACGGGUAGCCGGCCUGAGAGGGCGACCGGCCACAUUGGGACUGGGAUACGGCCCAGACUCCUACGGGAGGCAGCAGUGGGGAAUAUUGCACAAUGGGCGGAAGCCUGAUGCAGCAACGCCGCGUGCGGGAUGACGGCCUUCGGGUUGUAAACCGCUUUCAGCAGGGGAGAAGCUUGUGGUGACGGUACCUGCAGAAGAAGCACCGGCUAACUACGUG